Brassica oleracea var. oleracea is the source of this 594-nucleotide long non-coding RNA. RefSeq lists it as uncharacterized. NCBI's taxonomy places the organism in Eukaryota, Viridiplantae, Streptophyta, Magnoliopsida, Brassicales, Brassicaceae. The record is from RefSeq and is a predicted model, not a curated record. The transcript has 2 exons.
UCUGCAGUUUCAUUCAACGGGUGGAUGCUUCACAAAAUUAUGUGUGUUACAACACACGACAUUUCCAGUUGCUUCAUGUACUCGACUCUCUCCUCAUCACCACCAGGUGUGGACUUUCUGCUGAGCUUUCUCGCAUCAAAGUGCACAGAUAACCCCAAGUGAUUCAUCACUUGACGCUGUCCUCGUGAGAUGGUUGAUAUCUGGUUGCUGCCAUAAAGAGCAACCAAAGCAUUUCCAAGCAAAUGUAAUAAAAUCCCAGACUUCAUAAGCGAGAGAAGAUGUGAUGUGACUUGCCUCUUCCGUUAACGGCGAACCCUUGGCUAAUUGCAUGGGAAGAUGAAGAUGAGUGAGGGGGGUGGUGGGGGGAUUAUGACGUUUGUUAAACAGCCAUUAAUUGUCUAGACCAGAAAUGAAAUACGAAGUUGGAGCUGAGCUUUUGCAAACUUCGGCUUGGAGUGUCAUGCUCUCCUAUAUGUUGCAGCUCAGCUUUGAACUUAGCUCUUCCAUCCGGUUUGUUUGCUAACUUAUCGAUUCCCUCAUUGUGUAUGAGACUAUAUAAUAUAUAUAUAUAUAUAUAUAGACCCUUCUAUUGUA